RNAcentral lists this transfer RNA (67 nucleotides) under Diodon holocanthus (long-spine porcupinefish). RNAcentral describes it as "tRNA-Ser(AGY)". The record is from RNAcentral. Lineage: Eukaryota; Metazoa; Chordata; Actinopteri; Tetraodontiformes; Diodontidae. RNAcentral also lists the same sequence under 1 other name.
GAGAGAGGCUGGCAGCAACGAAAACUGCUAAUUUUCGUCACCUUGGUUAGACCCCGGGGCUCACUCG